Molecule: long non-coding RNA, 1831 nt
Organism: Lolium rigidum
Lineage: Eukaryota; Viridiplantae; Streptophyta; Magnoliopsida; Poales; Poaceae
Exons: 6
Source: RefSeq, a predicted model, not a curated record
AUUAACUUGUGAGAUAGAUUACCGGCAAGGAUCCCAAUGUUGCAGUCAACCCGAGGUUGUUUCUUGGGGCUGCCAUACCGGUCACAUUUUUCAACCCAAAUCUGUUGUAUUCUGUCAUUUGAAAGAGGACAAUCUCAAGACCUUAAUUACUUACGGUAGUAGUAUUUUGCACAUGUUUCCUCCAGCACUUAUAAAAUAGUUGAGGUCAAUUUGGCUGUAUGAAAAUUAGCUCCCAAAGCAUAUAAGUCAAGAUGCAAGACCACAAUUAACUUAAUCAACAUCUAGAACACCUAAUAUAGUUUUUCUGUUCCCUUGAAACACCAUGGUGGUGUUUUGACUUGAGAUGUGAAGGAUGUUGUACUUCUCGAUGUUACUCCAUUGUCUAUUGGUUUGGAAACAUUGGGUGGAGUGAUGACAAAGAUUAUCCCCAGGAAUACAACAUUCCCACCUCAAAAUCAGAGGUAUUCUCCAAGGCUGCUGAUGGACAGACAAGUGUUGAGAUCGAUUGUCUCCAGGGAGAAAGAGAGUUUAUCAUGACAUGGCUUGUGUCAAGACAGAUCUCAGGCUGGAGGAGAUGGUCCACUUCUGCAAGGUAAGGUGUCUUGGCUCAAAUGUUGACGGCGACUAGAAUCGUGCAAAAAAAUAUCAAGGAGACCCCAAACAGAGCUUUGGUGAUAUUGUAUUUAUGAUCUACUUGUAUCAAUGGAGCACCUAACUGGCCUGGUAUGGUGUCACCACCGACCGUAUCUACUACGGUAGCUGGCAGGCACAUCAGGUGGCGGAUGGCCGAGACGUCAGCCGAGCCUUGUUCUUGGAGCGAUCGGCGGAUUGCUGUGGUGUUGGUGGAAGGGGGAGUCAGUAAGAUGUAUUUUUAAUUUCUGGCUGGCAUGAAAGACCCAAGAAGCACAGGGCCGAGCCAGUAAUCCGCUUGAUCUUGUCAUACUUGAUGUGAUUCCCCCUGCAGUUUGAAGAAUGGGCAGAGCGGCUAGUGUCUUGCUACCUUUGUCUGCAUGAAGAGGGACACAUGCUACUGGUGACUCUUGGAAGACAAGGGACACUGUUCGCGCUACAAUAAAAGAGAAUCCUGGUGACCCACUGGGAGCGUUGUGUGCGGCCUGAGAUGAAGACCCUUGCACUCAGGGUCUACGGAGAGAGAUGUUGUUGCUGAUGACAAUGAAUAGGCCCCCUUGUGGACUGGCAAUGUGGUGUGUUGAUGGCGGUGCUGAUGUUCAUGGGCUUGCCGAGGCCUCCCGCGCUCCUCAUGUGGCUGUAGGCUUGGGUGGCCCUUGGCUUCGACAACCUCCUAGGCGUGGUGGCCGUGACGCUCAGCCUACAAGCUUUCUGGAGUCCGAUAUGUGAAGGACGGGCGAGGCGAUAACCUUGUUUGACUGGUGGUAGACGGACACGGCGCUGGAGUGGUACACGGAGCUGCAAGCAGGUCGCCGUGGCGCUCAUCUAGGAGGUAGCGAGGUGGAGCAUACUGCCCUUAUUCAACAGCAGCAGCAAGGGGAAAACUAGAGCUGGUAGCUGGCCAGGAGGGAGGAGACCUAGAUCCGACAUGAUUUUCUUACAUGAGUCGAUGUGCUUGAUAACCUGGGGACGAUAUGGUGCCUUUUGUGAUUUGGACAGUUUAGAUAUGUUGGUUAGCACUUGAGGUUAUUUGCAAUUGCAAGUAUAUCAAGCUGCUAGUUUGUGUGUUGUUCGUCAUAGCUAAGCACCGGAUGGCACCUAGAGCUUUGCUGUAUCUAGCUGAUGUAGUAGUGUUAGCACAUCAGUCACGGGAUCGUAUGAAGCAUGGUAGUGUUUGAAUUUAUUUGUACUGUCUAUGCAG